This 488-nucleotide ribosomal RNA is filed under the name uncultured bacterium. RNAcentral describes it as "partial 16S ribosomal RNA". It matches the Rfam family "Bacterial small subunit ribosomal RNA", at positions 28 to 507 of the family's 1533-position model. The record is from RNAcentral.
GAUGAACGCUAGCGGCAGGCUUAACACAUGCAAGUCGAGGGGCAGCAUAAUGGAUAGCCCUAUCUAUGGUGGCGACCGGCGCACGGGUGCGUAACGCGUAUGCAACCUACCUUUAACAGGGGGAUAACACUGAGAAAUUGGUACUAAUACCCCAUAAUAUCAUAGAAGGCAUCUUUUAUGGUUGAAAAUUCCGAUGGUUAGAGAUGGGCAUGCGUUGUAUUAGCUAGUUGGUGGGGUAACGGCUCACCAAGGCGACGAUACAUAGGGGGACUGAGAGGUUAACCCCCCACACUGGUACUGAGACACGGACCAGACUCCUACGGGAGGCAGCAGUGAGGAAUAUUGGUCAAUGGACGCAAGUCUGAACCAGCCAUGCCACGUGCAGGAUGACGGCUCUAUGAGUUGUAAACUGCUUUUGUACGAGGGUAAACGCAGAUACGUGUAUCUGUCUGAAAGUAUCGUACGAAUAAGGAUCGGCUAACUCCGUG